AUUGAACGCUGGCGGCAGGCCUAACACAUGCAAGUCGAGCGGAUGAAGGGAGCUUGCUCCUGGAUUCAGCUGCGGACGGGUGAGUAAUGCCUAGGAAUCUGCCUGGUAGUGGGGGAUAACGUCCGGAAACGGGCGCUAAUACCGCAUACGUCCUGAGGUAGAAAGUGGGGGAUCUUCGGACCUCACGCUAUCAGAUGAGCCUAGGUCGGAUUAGCUAGUUGGUGGGGUAAAGGCCUACCAAGGCGACGAUCCGUAACUGGUCUGAGAGGAUGAUCAGUCACACUGGAACUGAGACACGGUCCAGACUCCUACGGGAGGCAGCAGUGGGGAAUAUUGGACAAUGGGCGAAAGCCUGAUCCAGCCAUGCCGCGUGUGUGAAGAAGGUCUUCGGAUUGUAAAGCACUUUAAGUUGGGAGGAAGGGCAGUAAGUUAAUACCUUGCUGUUUUGACGUUACCAACAGAAUAAGCACCGGCUAACUUCGUG
RNAcentral lists this ribosomal RNA (484 nucleotides) under uncultured bacterium. RNAcentral's name for it is "partial 16S ribosomal RNA". It matches the Rfam family "Bacterial small subunit ribosomal RNA", at positions 30 to 507 of the family's 1533-position model. The record is from RNAcentral.